Molecule: long non-coding RNA, 689 nt
Organism: Carcharodon carcharias (great white shark)
Lineage: Eukaryota; Metazoa; Chordata; Chondrichthyes; Lamniformes; Lamnidae
Exons: 3
Source: RefSeq, a predicted model, not a curated record
UGUAAAACGGUGGCGCACACCCGAUCGGGGUCGUGCUCACUUCCGCCAGCCCCCGCACAACCCCUCCCGGUGGGGAGGGGGGAGACAUUCAGCCCAAUGUUUCAGGUCUUCGCCCUUUCAUCAGGAUUGUGAAAAGGCUUGGCUGUCGGAGGCCGUGCAGGGUGGGGAUGGGAAACAGUGCGUCAGAAGCUCUUGGCUAACUGCUCUAAAAUCUGAAGUGAUGUGGCUGCUUAAUGCUGAAGAACUGCAUGUGUGGAGGCCAAAGAAAUAAAUAAGCGUGGCAGUCAGAGACCCAGUGGCUGCCAGGAUAAACAUGCAGAUGUACAGGAAACCGAGUCUGAGAAGCGAUUCAACGUUAAAUGAUCUGAAGCAAUGGCUAGCCCAUGCCUCACCCAGCUCUCCAGAAUUGCCCAGGAGUCACCAGGAGUGGACAAUUAACUCUCUGGACACCGCUGCAAGCAGCACCCAAGGAGAACAACCAUUGGAGCAUGAAAACAAAUUGUGAUUUAAAAAAAAAAAAAUUCUUUGAACACUCGUUAAUAAUUACCAGAGAUGGAAAUAAAAAGGUUGUCUGAUUGGGAGAGGCAAUUGGAGACGCAAGGUCCUGUGAUUAAACCUCCAGGGACACGUCCAAUGAGAUGAAAGCAAAAUACUGCGGAUGCUGGAAAUCAGAAAUAAAAACAGAAAAU